GAAAAAAAGAAUAGCAGCAAUUUGAAUCUGUGCAGGAGUUUGGAAUGUUAAUCAUCCCAAUAGAGAUGGAUUAAUGGGCAGCGGGUAAAUGCUGCCAUCAGAGGUGCCCAGAAAGUUAGGCUUUGUGAGAUUCAGCAUUGCAACACUGAAGUCCCUGGGUGGAGCCUACCCUAACAACCUCUCCCAGGAAAUGUAAGCCUGCUCUCACUAGACCUGAUUUAAACAAGGAACUCUGAUCACAUUGUAUGGGAGGGAUGCUCAGAGCAACGCUGUGUAGGAAUGCUCCCCAACAGAUGGAAUCAAAAGCAGCUGAAAAGUAACAACACCUGAUAUGAGAUUAUAGGCCAUCUCAUCUGGAAUCAAUUCCUAAAAAGCUCUCCUUUCAUCCUCUGCUUGAGAGAUUCGGUGUGCCCUAAUGAUUGCUUCAGACGCUGCUUCUGUUUAUAAAGAGUUAAGUCAUCCAGUCGUGCAACAGAAACCAUACCAUGUGGAUGCAGAUGAUUAGUCACACAGAGUGCAGAUGGUCCCCAUGUGCAGCAGAACCUGCGAAGAGUUAGGCUUUAUGGGGCUCCCUGUGUGCAGUAGUGUUGGGGGC
Molecule: long non-coding RNA, 595 nt
Organism: Mauremys reevesii (Reeves's turtle)
Lineage: Eukaryota; Metazoa; Chordata; Testudines; Geoemydidae
Exons: 4
Source: RefSeq, a predicted model, not a curated record